AGAUGUAACGGGGCUAAACCAUGCACCGAAGCUGCGGCAGCGACACUAUGUGUUGUUGGGUAGGGGAGCGUUCUGUAAGCCUGCGAAGGUGACCUGUGAGGGUUGCUGGAGGUAUCAGAAGUGCGAAUGCUGACAUAAGUAACGAUAAAGCGGGUGAAAAGCCCGCUCGCCGGAAGACCAAGGGUUCCUGUCCAACGUUAAUCGGGGCAGGGUGAGUCGACCCCUAAGGCGAGGCCGAAAGGCGUAGUCGAUGGGAAACAGGUUAAUAUUCCUGUACUUGGUGUUACUGCGAAGGGGGGACGGAGAAGGCUAUGUUAGCCGGGCGACGGUUGUCCCGGUUUAAGCAUGUAGGCUGGUUAUCCAGGCAAAUCCGGAUAAUCAAGGCUGAGGUGUGAUGACGAGGCACUACGGUGCUGAAGUAACAAAUGCCCUGCUUCCAGGAAAAGCCUCUAAGCAUCAGGUAACAUCAAAUCGUACCCCAAACCGACACAGGUGGUCAGGUAGAGAAUACCAAGGCGCUUGAGAGAACUCGGGUGAAGGAACUAGGCAAAAUGGUGCCGUAACUUCGGGAGAAGGCACGCUGGUGUGUAGGUGAAGCCCCUGCGGGUGGAGCUGAGACCAGUCGAAGAUACCAGCUGGCUGCAACUGUUUAUUAAAAACACAGCACUGUGCAAACACGAAAGUGGACGUAUACGGUGUGACGCC
RNAcentral lists this ribosomal RNA (705 nucleotides) under Klebsiella pneumoniae. Its description in RNAcentral is "bacterial LSU rRNA". It matches the Rfam family "Bacterial large subunit ribosomal RNA", at positions 1168 to 1859 of the family's 2925-position model. Lineage: Bacteria; Pseudomonadati; Pseudomonadota; Gammaproteobacteria; Enterobacterales; Enterobacteriaceae. The record is from RNAcentral.